This 206-nucleotide long non-coding RNA is filed under the name Elaeis guineensis (African oil palm). RNAcentral describes it as "long non-coding RNA (EGUI_LNC065364)". Lineage: Eukaryota; Viridiplantae; Streptophyta; Magnoliopsida; Arecales; Arecaceae. The record is from RNAcentral.
GCCCCCCGGGCCUCUUCAAGGAGUCCCCCGACUGGGGCCCCUGUUUUGGGGGUCCGCUCCACGGAGGCACCCGUAGUCGAGAGGGGGAUGAGAAGGAAGUCGGUGGCCCAUAGGGGGAGUAGCCGUUGAGCCACCGUGGAAGAGUCCCUCUGCUCCGAAGAAGGGCUAGAGAACCCCUUCAAUGACAGGAACUUGAUCAAGCGGCU